GUAGGUGAACCUGCGGAAGGAUCAUUCAUAAUAAGUGUUUUAUGGCACUUUUUUAAAUCCAUAUCCACCUUGUGUGCAAUGUCAGGGUUGGUCUCUUGAAAAAGAGAUCAGCCCCAAACAUCAACCCAAUCUUAACUCUUUGUCUGAAAAAUAUUAUGAAUAAAACAAUUCAAAAUACAACUUUCAACAACGGAUCUCUUGGCUCUC
RNAcentral lists this unclassified non-coding RNA (207 nucleotides) under rhizosphere metagenome. Its description in RNAcentral is "partial ribosomal RNA internal transcribed spacer region". The record is from RNAcentral.